CGAUGAAGCCGCUUCGGUGGUGGAUUAGUGGCGAACGGGUGAGUAACACGUGGGCAAUCUGCCCUUCACUCUGGGACAAGCCCUGGAAACGGGGUCUAAUACCGGAUAAUACUCCUGCCUGCAUGGGUGGGGGUUGAAAGCUCCGGCGGUGAAGGAUGAGCCCGCGGCCUAUCAGCUUGUUGGUGGGGUAAUGGCCUACCAAGGCGACGACGGGUAGCCGGCCUGAGAGGGCGACCGGCCACACUGGGACUGAGACACGGCCCAGACUCCUACGGGAGGCAGCAGUGGGGAAUAUUGCACAAUGGGCGAAAGCCUGAUGCAGCGACGCCGCGUGAGGGAUGACGGCCUUCGGGUUGUAAACCUCUUUCAGCAGGGAAGAAGCGCAAGUGACGGUACCUGCAGAAGAAGCGCCGGCUAACUACGUGCCAGCAGCCGCGGUAAUACGUAGGGCGCAAGCGUUGUCCGGAAUUAUUGGGCGUAAAGAGCUCGUAGGCGGCUUGUCACGUCGGAUGUGAAAGCCCGGGGCUUAACCCCGGGUCUGCAUUCGAUACGGGCUAGCUAGAGUGUGGUAGGGGAGAUCGGAAUUCCUGGUGUAGCGGUGAAAUGCGCAGAUAUCAGGAGGAACACCGGUGGCGAAGGCGGAUCUCUGGGCCAUUACUGACGCUGAGGAGCGAAAGCGUGGGGAGCGAACAGGAUUAGAUACCCUGGUAGUCCACGCCGUAAACGUUGGGAACUAGGUGUUGGCGACAUUCCACGUCGUC
Molecule: ribosomal RNA, 761 nt
Filed under: Streptomyces sp. CUA-798
Lineage: Bacteria; Bacillati; Actinomycetota; Actinomycetes; Kitasatosporales; Streptomycetaceae
Description: bacterial SSU rRNA
Rfam family: Bacterial small subunit ribosomal RNA
Source: RNAcentral